RNAcentral lists this ribosomal RNA (252 nucleotides) under uncultured bacterium. Its description in RNAcentral is "partial 16S ribosomal RNA". It matches the Rfam family "Bacterial small subunit ribosomal RNA", at positions 524 to 776 of the family's 1533-position model. The record is from RNAcentral.
UACGUAGGGGGCAAGCGUUAUCCGGAUUUACUGGGUGUAAAGGGAGCGUAGACGGCAGAGCAAGUCGGGUGUUAAAUCUACCGGCUCAACUGGUAGUCGCACUCAAAACUGCUAUUCUUGAGUGAAGUAGAGGCAGGCGGAAUUCCUAGUGUAGCGGUGAAAUGCGUAGAUAUUAGGAGGAACACCAGUGGCGAGGGCGGCCUGCUGGGCUUUUACUGACACUGAGGCUCGAAAGUGUGGGGAGCAAACAGG